GUUGUAGUGGAUUGGCAGUUGGCGAGAUUCGUUCUGCGACUAAAUUCCAUGUGAUUAAAGCAAAUACAAACUACCACAUGAUACUUGGCAGAGCCUGGAUGCACCGAUACGGGGCUAUCCCAUCCAACUAUCACCAAUGUGUGAAGGCAAAGUUGGAAAAGCGCACAGUUACUAUAAACGCAUCUGAAAAGCCAUUCGGAGUAGAAAAGGCACACUAUUCAGAUGCAGUUUUCUUUACUGAGUUGUCAACAGAUGAAGCUCCAAGGACGGGUAAAAUUGCAGGGGUAAAAUUGCCGAAGUGGGAAGACAUUCGAGAUGUAGAGGCUACUCCAGAAAACAGUGGAUAGAAAAGGAGUAACAAAUCCACGAGUCCGUCGCUCAAGAUUGUCAAGGUGCAAGAGGGCGGCAAGACAGCCCGCGUAUUCUC
This 427-nucleotide small RNA is filed under the name Camellia sinensis. RNAcentral describes it as "transcribed RNA". The record is from RNAcentral. Lineage: Eukaryota; Viridiplantae; Streptophyta; Magnoliopsida; Ericales; Theaceae.